GACGAACGCUGGCGGCGUGCCUAAUACAUGCAAGUUGAGCGCUGGCGGAUGGUACUUGUACCAACUGGAUGAGCAGCGAACGGGUGAGUAACGCGUGGAGAAGCUGCCUUUGAGCGGGGGACAACAUUUGGAAACGAAUGCUAAUACCGCAUAAAAACUUUAAACACAAGUUUUAAGUUUGAAAGAUGCAAUUGCCUCACUCAAAGAUGAUCCCGCGUUGGAUUAGCUAGUUGGUGAGGUAACGGCUCACCAAGGCGAUGAUACAUAGCCGACCUGAAAGGGUGAUCGGCCACAUUUGGACUGAGACACGGCCCAAACUCCUACGGGAGGCAGCAGUAGGGAAUCUUCGGCAAUGGACGAAAGUCUGACCGAGCAACGCCGCGUGAGUGAAGAAGGUUUUCGGAUCUGAAAACUCUGUUGGUAGAGAAGAACGUUGGUGAGGGUGGAAAGCUCAUCAAGUGACGGUAACUACCGAGAAAGGGACGGCUAACUACGUG
Molecule: ribosomal RNA, 497 nt
Filed under: uncultured bacterium
Lineage: Bacteria
Description: partial 16S ribosomal RNA
Rfam family: Bacterial small subunit ribosomal RNA
Source: RNAcentral